Molecule: ribosomal RNA, 419 nt
Filed under: uncultured Prevotella sp.
Lineage: Bacteria; Pseudomonadati; Bacteroidota; Bacteroidia; Bacteroidales; Prevotellaceae
Description: bacterial SSU rRNA
Rfam family: Bacterial small subunit ribosomal RNA
Source: RNAcentral
GGAAUAUUGGUCAAUGGGCGUAAGCCUGAACCAGCCAAGUAGCGUGCAGGACGACGGCCCUACGGGUUGUAAACUGCUUUUAUGCGGGGAUAACCGGCGCCACGCGUGGCGCCCUGCAGGUACCGCAUGAAUAAGGACCGGCUAAUUCCGUGCCAGCAGCCGCGGUAAUACGGAAGGUCCGGGCGUUAUCCGGAUUUAUUGGGUUUAAAGGGAGCGCAGGCCGAAGGUUAAGCGUGACGUGAAAUGUAGCCGCUCAACGGCUGAACUGCGUCGCGAACUGGCUUUCUUGAGUGAGUACGACGUCAGCGGAAUUCGUGGUGUAGCGGUGAAAUGCUUAGAUAUCACGAAGAACCCCGAUUGCGAAGGCAGCUGACGAGUCCUUUACUGACGCUAAAGCUCGAAGGUGCGGGUAUCGAACA